UCCCUGGUGGCUCAGACGGUAAAGAACCUACCUGCAGUAUAGGAGACCCGGGUUCAAUCCCUGGGUGGGGAA
RNAcentral lists this transfer RNA (72 nucleotides) under Ovis aries (sheep). It matches the Rfam family "tRNA". From Rfam's summary of the family: Transfer RNA (tRNA) molecules are approximately 80 nucleotides in length. Their secondary structure includes four short double-helical elements and three loops (D, anti-codon, and T loops). The record is from Rfam by way of RNAcentral. Lineage: Eukaryota; Metazoa; Chordata; Mammalia; Artiodactyla; Bovidae.